UGGUGGGUAGUUUGACUGGGGCGGUCUCCUCCCAAAGCGUAACGGAGGAGCACGAAGGUUAGCUAAUCCUGGUCGGACAUCAGGAGGUUAGUGCAAUGGCAUAAGCUAGCUUGACUGCGAGCGUGACGGCGCGAGCAGGUGCGAAAGCAGGUCAUAGUGAUCCGGUGGUUCUGAAUGGAAGGGCCAUCGCUCAACGGAUAAAAGGUACUCCGGGGAUAACAGGCUGAUACCGCCCAAGAGUUCAUAUCGACGGCGGUGUUUGGCACCUCGAUGUCGGCUCAUCACAUCCUGGGGCUGAAGUAGGUCCCAAGGGUAUGGCUGUUCGCCAUUUAAAGUGGUACGCGAGCUGGGUUUAGAACGUCGUGAGACAGUUCGGUCCCUAUCUGCCGUGGGCGCUGGAGAAUUGAGGGGGGCUGCUCCUAGUACGAGAGGACCGGAGUGGACGCAUCACUGGUGUUCGGGUUGUCAUGCCAAUGGCACUGCCCGGUAGCUAAAUGCGGAAGAGAUAAGUGCUGAAAGCAUCUAAGCACGAAACUUGCCCCGAGAUGAGUUCUCCCUGAGACUUUAAG
Molecule: ribosomal RNA, 569 nt
Filed under: Klebsiella pneumoniae
Lineage: Bacteria; Pseudomonadati; Pseudomonadota; Gammaproteobacteria; Enterobacterales; Enterobacteriaceae
Also listed under: 1 other name
Description: partial 23S ribosomal RNA
Rfam family: Bacterial large subunit ribosomal RNA
Source: RNAcentral